GACGUGGCCAAGUGGAUUAAGGCAGUGGAUUUGUGAAUCCGCC
This 43-nucleotide transfer RNA is filed under the name Nyholmiella obtusifolia. RNAcentral describes it as "partial tRNA-His". The record is from RNAcentral. Lineage: Eukaryota; Viridiplantae; Streptophyta; Bryopsida; Orthotrichales; Orthotrichaceae.